Molecule: ribosomal RNA, 440 nt
Filed under: uncultured bacterium
Lineage: Bacteria
Description: partial 16S ribosomal RNA
Rfam family: Bacterial small subunit ribosomal RNA
Source: RNAcentral
CCUACGGGUGGCAGCAGUGGGGAAUAUUGCACAAUGGGGGAAACCCUGAUGCAGCGACGCCGCGUGAGCGAUGAAGUAUUUCGGUAUGUAAAGCUCUAUCAGCAGGGAAGAAAAUGACGGUACCUGACUAAGCCGCCCCGGCUAACUACGUGCCAGCAGCCGCGGUAAUACGGAGGGGGCAAGCGUUAUCCGGAUUUACUGGGUGGAAAGGGAGCGUAGACGGCGAUGCAAGCCAGGUGUGAAAGCCCGGGGCUCAACCCCGGGACUGCGUGUGGAACUGUCGGGCUGGAGUGUCGGAGAGGCAGGCGGAAUGCCUAGUGUAGCGGUGAAAUGCGUAGAUAUUAGGAGGAACACCAGUGGCGAAGGCGGCCUGCUGGACGAUGACUGACGUUGAGGCUCGAAAGCGUGGGUAGCAAACAGGAUUAGAUACCCUAGUAGUC